CAGGCCUAACACAUGCAAGUCUAACGAGAAACUCCGGGCUUGCUCGGGAGAGUAAAGUGGCGCACGGGUGAGUAACGCGUGGGUAACCUGUCCUUAAAUCCGGGAUAACUCACCGAAAGAUGGUCUAAUACCGGAUGUCGUCCUGAGUGUUACGGCUCUCAGGAUGAAAGCUGACCGCUUCGUGAAAGCUAUCGUUUGGAGAUGAGCCCGCGUCCCAUUAGCUUGUUGGCAGGGUAACGGCCUACCAAGGCUACGAUGGGUAGCUGGUCUGAGAGGAUGAUCAGCCACACUGGAACUGACACACGGUCCAGACUCCUACGGGAGGCAGCAGUGAGGAAUUUUGCGCAAUGGGGGAAACCCUGACGCAGCAACGCCGCGUGAGUGAUGAAGGCUUUCGAGUCGUAAAGCUCUGUCAAGUGGGAAGAACCUACUAAGUGCCAAUAUCACUUAGUACUGACGGUACCACUGAAGGAAGCACCGGCUAACUCCGUGCC
RNAcentral lists this ribosomal RNA (494 nucleotides) under uncultured bacterium. Its description in RNAcentral is "bacterial SSU rRNA". It matches the Rfam family "Bacterial small subunit ribosomal RNA", at positions 43 to 509 of the family's 1533-position model. The record is from RNAcentral.